Molecule: long non-coding RNA, 1320 nt
Organism: Frieseomelitta varia
Lineage: Eukaryota; Metazoa; Arthropoda; Insecta; Hymenoptera; Apidae
Exons: 2
Source: RefSeq, a predicted model, not a curated record
GCUUUCUAACUUUCUUUAUGUCCUAUUUUUAUUUGUUUGAAUAAUGAGAGACAGUAAACGAGAAUAACCGAAAUUGAUCAAUCAUGAAUUCGUACAUCUGAGACUCAAUAAUUAACCUCGUAACUUCGGUUCAUGUAAACGAGAUUCGGAUGAACGAAGUUCUGCCGUUUUAAAUUUCGCGCGAAAUAUACACGAUGGUACUUACAAGUGCAAUUUAACUUUAAGUUAACUUCUUGGAGUUAUUUUGCAAGGUAACCAUUAAAAGUAGGAUUAAUUAAAUAAUCGUAAGAAUAUAGUGAUAUUUAGUUUCAUAUAUAAAUUAUUUACAAUAUUAUGCGAAAUGACUAGUACAACGAAUUCAACAAACAAUUAUAGUUGAAAUAGAUGCAUAUAAAGAAAAUGUAUAUAUGGAUAUUAGUAAUGCUAUUUUAAUAAUUCACACGUCAGGUCUCAUUAAAUUAUUACAUCAAGAUGGCUAACAUUAGCAUCAUAAAAGAAAACCGAAGGAUCAUUCUGGGUUAAGUUCGAUAAAAUAAGUAACGAAUUAACAUCAAAAUAACAACAAUUAGUGCUGAAACUCGUGUCAAUUAAAUGUUACGUCGUAUUAAUUGAGCCAAGCAAAAACAACGAAACACUGAAUGAAAACAAACAAGUGAUGAAAUCAGCGGAAUAGCUUAGCUAAGUCAUCACUGACCAGUAGAUCGAAUUCAUAGUUUUGGUACAAGGCAAAGAUAAUCAUGAUCGAAUACUGCAAAUUUCAGAUCAUUGGAGAGUGCGAAACGGAAAGAUCUGUAAUAGUCAUGAAAAUCUGACCUCUAAGCAAAUAGAGAUACUCGGUAAUAAUAUCAAUCAACCGGCCGGUUUUAGACACGGAAAGAUCCUUGCGUAACUAUAUACCAUAUGUACCGCAUGCAUUGAAAAUGGCAUUGAAGUGGCAGCUCGAACUUAAACUAUAUAUGAUCCCUUAGAAAUGCAUGAUCAAGUGUAUUAUAAAAGCUCACGGUUUGGUGGUGCCUGCGUUCGGCGCUGCGGUCAUCUCCUAUCCGUGUGGAUAAACGUGCACGAAAUUAAUUCAAAUCGAAUUCUAAUCGAUUUCAGCAAAUAACGCUGCCGCAGCUGUUCUUAUCAUGACUGAACUCUUUUUCUCCUAAAACUGUAGAAGUAGUUUACUCUAAUUGCAUGAGAUAACUAUUUUUUCAAAGAAGACGUCAAGGUCAAGGUUUGAAGAGGGAGAGUAUCCUAUUGUAACCGAAAGAUUUGCAGUUAAUGUUGACAUGCAAUAACACAUGUUAUUUGUGACGAUAAUAAAUCUAAGAUUUA